RNAcentral lists this ribosomal RNA (1238 nucleotides) under Halomonas sp. PEB09. RNAcentral describes it as "bacterial SSU rRNA". It matches the Rfam family "Bacterial small subunit ribosomal RNA", at positions 149 to 1388 of the family's 1533-position model. Lineage: Bacteria; Pseudomonadati; Pseudomonadota; Gammaproteobacteria; Oceanospirillales; Halomonadaceae. The record is from RNAcentral.
UGGGGAAACCCAGGCUAAUACCGCAUACGUCCUACGGGAGAAAGGGGGCUUCGGCUCUCGCUAUUGGAUGAGCCUAUGUCGGAUUAGCUAGUUGGUGAGGUAAUGGCUCACCAAGGCAACGAUCCGUAGCUGGUCUGAGAGGAUGAUCAGCCACAUCGGGACUGAGACACGGCCCGAACUCCUACGGGAGGCAGCAGUGGGGAAUAUUGGACAAUGGGCGAAAGCCUGAUCCAGCCAUGCCGCGUGUGUGAAGAAGGCCCUCGGGUUGUAAAGCACUUUCAGCGAGGAAGAACGCCUAGUGGUUAAUACCCAUUAGGAAAGACAUCACUCGCAGAAGAAGCACCGGCUAACUCCGUGCCAGCAGCCGCGGUAAUACGGAGGGUGCAAGCGUUAAUCGGAAUUACUGGGCGUAAAGCGCGCGUAGGUGGCUUGAUAAGCCGGUUGUGAAAGCCCCGGGCUCAACCUGGGAACGGCAUCCGGAACUGUCAAGCUAGAGUGCAGGAGAGGAAGGUAGAAUUCCCGGUGUAGCGGUGAAAUGCGUAGAGAUCGGGAGGAAUACCAGUGGCGAAGGCGGCCUUCUGGACUGACACUGACACUGAGGUGCGAAAGCGUGGGUAGCAAACAGGAUUAGAUACCCUGGUAGUCCACGCCGUAAACGAUGUCGACCAGCCGUUGGGUGCCUAGCGCACUUUGUGGCGAAGUUAACGCGAUAAGUCGACCGCCUGGGGAGUACGGCCGCAAGGUUAAAACUCAAAUGAAUUGACGGGGGCCCGCACAAGCGGUGGAGCAUGUGGUUUAAUUCGAUGCAACGCGAAGAACCUUACCUACUCUUGACAUCCUGCGAACUUGUGAGAGAUCACUUGGUGCCUUCGGGAACGCAGAGACAGGUGCUGCAUGGCUGUCGUCAGCUCGUGUUGUGAAAUGUUGGGUUAAGUCCCGUAACGAGCGCAACCCUUGUCCUUAUUUGCCAGCGGGUAAUGCCGGGAACUCUAAGGAGACUGCCGGUGACAAACCGGAGGAAGGUGGGGACGACGUCAAGUCAUCAUGGCCCUUACGAGUAGGGCUACACACGUGCUACAAUGGCCGGUACAAAGGGUUGCGAGCUCGCGAGAGUCAGCUAAUCCCGAAAAGCCGGUCUCAGUCCGGAUCGGAGUCUGCAACUCGACUCCGUGAAGUCGGAAUCGCUAGUAAUCGUGAAUCAGAAUGUCACGGUGAAUACGUUCCCGGGCCUUGUACAC